CAUAGCCACGGUAAUACGGAGGGAGCUAGCGUUGUUCGGAAUUACUGGGCGUAAAGCGCGCGUAGGCGGUUACUCAAGUCAGAGGUGAAAGCCCGGGGCUCAACCCCGGAACUGCCUUUGAAACUAGGUGACUAGAAUCUUGGAGAGGUCAGUGGAAUUCCGAGUGUAGAGGUGAAAUUCGUAGAUAUUCGGAAGAACACCAGUGGCGAAGGCGACUGACUGGACAAGUAUUGACGCUGAGGUGCGAAAGCGUGGGGAGCAAACAGGAUUAGAGACCCGCGUAGUCCCUGUCUCUUAUACA
RNAcentral lists this ribosomal RNA (301 nucleotides) under uncultured bacterium. Its description in RNAcentral is "partial 16S ribosomal RNA". It matches the Rfam family "Bacterial small subunit ribosomal RNA", at positions 510 to 808 of the family's 1533-position model. The record is from RNAcentral.